Molecule: transfer RNA, 74 nt
Organism: Clunio marinus
Lineage: Eukaryota; Metazoa; Arthropoda; Insecta; Diptera; Chironomidae
Rfam family: tRNA
About the family: Transfer RNA (tRNA) molecules are approximately 80 nucleotides in length.
Source: Rfam
GCCUCAGUGGCGCAGUUGGUUAGCGCGUAAGUCUCAUAAUCUUAAGGUCGUGAGUUCGAGUCUCACCUGGGGCA